This 312-nucleotide ribosomal RNA is filed under the name Triticum aestivum (bread wheat). RNAcentral's name for it is "partial small subunit ribosomal RNA". Lineage: Eukaryota; Viridiplantae; Streptophyta; Magnoliopsida; Poales; Poaceae. The record is from RNAcentral.
AUGUGUGAUGUGCCCCUAUCUAUGUAUGUUUCUUUGUCUGUUUCAUGUGUGCAAGUGCUCCAUUGUCUGUGUGUGACUGUGUUUGAUUGCUUAGAUGGGGUGAUUCUGAUUGUGUUACUGCUUAUAUGGUCUGUCCAAUUGGUUUCAUAUUCAUGCUUUGCUUGUGUUCCAAUGUCGUCUUCCCAUAUAUGGGGAUGUGUUCAGAGAUGCAAACCAUUUAGGCCGUUUCGAGCAGGCAGGGAUCCAGAGACGUGCACUGUUCAGGCUUCUCUCCUACUGAUAGAUGAUGAUAGGCUGAGCAGAAAAGUUUGA